UUAAUCAACAGGCCAGUGCCCCGGGGUCUUGUAGUGACGGGGACCCUGAAACUCAGAUCGCAAGCCCCAAUACUUCAGACUGUGCUGACCCCUGCGAAUUCCCCAAAUGUGAGAAUCUUGACUGCUUAUUUCUGGUAGUGGGGGACUGCGUUCACGCUCUCCCCUG
The sequence is a small nuclear RNA, 166 nucleotides long. Its record names the gene U1. It matches the Rfam family "U1 spliceosomal RNA". From Rfam's summary of the family: U1 is a small nuclear RNA (snRNA) component of the spliceosome (involved in pre-mRNA splicing). Its 5' end forms complementary base pairs with the 5' splice junction, thus defining the 5' donor site of an intron. The record is from Ensembl.